RNAcentral lists this ribosomal RNA (612 nucleotides) under uncultured bacterium. Its description in RNAcentral is "bacterial SSU rRNA". The stretch from base 1 to 525 matches the Rfam family "Bacterial small subunit ribosomal RNA", at positions 338 to 873 of the family's 1533-position model. The record is from RNAcentral.
CCUACGGGAGGCAGCAGUGGGGAAUAUUGGACAAUGGGCGAAAGCCUGAUCCAGCAAUGCCGCGUGAGUGAUGAAGGCCUUAGGGUUGUAAAGCUCUUUUACCAGGGAUGAUAAUGACAGUACCUGGAGAAUAAGCUCCGGCUAACUCCGUGCCAGCAGCCGCGGUAAUACGGAGGGAGCUAGCGUUGUUCGGAAUUACUGGGCGUAAAGCGUACGUAGGCGGUUAUUCAAGUCAGAGGUGAAAGCCUGGAGCUCAACUCCAGAACUGCCUUUGAAACUAGAUAGCUAGAAUCUUGGAGAGGUGAGUGGAAUUCCGAGUGUAGAGGUGAAAUUCGUAGAUAUUCGGAAGAACACCAGUGGCGAAGGCGACUCACUGGACAAGUAUUGACGCUGAGGUACGAAAGCGUGGGGAGCAAACAGGAUUAGAUACCCUGGUAGUCCACGCCGUAAACGAUGAUAACUAGCUGUUCGGGCUCUACGAGCUUGGUAGUGCGCACGACUACGUACUAUUAAGUUACGUCCGUCCGUCGGGUAGGUACGGUACGACGAAGAAUAAACGUAACGAAGAAGUAGACGACGAGAGACGACGACGACGACGACGACGAGGGAGAG